This 305-nucleotide ribosomal RNA is filed under the name uncultured bacterium. RNAcentral's name for it is "bacterial SSU rRNA". It matches the Rfam family "Bacterial small subunit ribosomal RNA", at positions 334 to 656 of the family's 1533-position model. The record is from RNAcentral.
UCUUCCUACGGGGGGCAGCAGUGGGGAAUAUUGCACAAUGGGGGAAACCCUGAUGCAGCAACGCCGCGUGAGUGAAGAAGUCAUUCGUGAUGUAAAGCUCUAUCAGCAGGGAAGAAAAUGACGGUACCUGAGUAAGAAGCCCCGGCUAACUACGUGCCAGCAGCCGCGGUAAUACGUAGGGGGCAAGCGUUAUCCGGAUUUACUGGGUGUAAAGGGAGCGUAGACGGCGGGGCAAGUCUGGAGUGAAAGGCAGGGGCCCAACCCCUGGACUGCUCUGGAAACUGUCCGGCUGGAGUGCAGGAGAG